GUGGGGAAUAUUGGACAAUGGGCGAAAGCCUGAUCCAGCCAUGCCGCGUGUGUGAAGAAGGUCUUCGGAUUGUAAAGCACUUUAAGUUGGGAGGAAGGGUUGUAGAUUAAUACUCUGCAAUUUUGACGUUACCGACAGAAUAAGCACCGGCUAACUUCGUGCCAGCAGCCGCGGUAAUACGAAGGGUGCAAGCGUUAAUCGGAAUUACUGGGCGUAAAGCGCGCGUAGGUGGUUCGUUAAGUUGGAUGUGAAAGCCCCGGGCUCAACCUGGGAACUGCAUCCAAAACUGGCGAGCUAGAGUACGGUAGAGGGUGGUGGAAUUUCCUGUGUAGCGGUGAAAUGCGUAGAUAUAGGAAGGAACACCAGUGGCGAAGGCGACCGCCUGGACUGAUACUGACACUGAGGUGCGAAAGCGUGGGGAGCAAACAGGAUUAGAAACCCGGGUAGUCC
This 450-nucleotide ribosomal RNA is filed under the name uncultured bacterium. RNAcentral describes it as "partial 16S ribosomal RNA". It matches the Rfam family "Bacterial small subunit ribosomal RNA", at positions 354 to 796 of the family's 1533-position model. The record is from RNAcentral.